AAGAUGUAGCGGAGUCGGAAGUGGAGGGUUCAACCACAAGGUUCGUUUCUCGGCAUGAUGCAAAUGCUGGGGAGUUGCAAGAUCAAAGAAGGCAUAAUGGUUUGCCAGAAAAUGAAUUUAAGCAUGGCAUCAAAUUUGGGACGCUGUUCUCAGUCGAACCAUCGAAUGUCAUGAGCAUGUCUUACCAGUUCCCAGUGAAAGAU
RNAcentral lists this long non-coding RNA (203 nucleotides) under Linum usitatissimum (flax). RNAcentral's name for it is "long non-coding RNA (LUSI_LNC000062)". The record is from RNAcentral. Lineage: Eukaryota; Viridiplantae; Streptophyta; Magnoliopsida; Malpighiales; Linaceae.